This 445-nucleotide ribosomal RNA is filed under the name uncultured bacterium. RNAcentral describes it as "partial 16S ribosomal RNA". It matches the Rfam family "Bacterial small subunit ribosomal RNA", at positions 354 to 796 of the family's 1533-position model. The record is from RNAcentral.
GUGAGGAAUAUUGGGCAAUGGAGGCAACUCUGACCCAGCCAUGCCGCGUGCAGGAAGACGGUCCUAUGGAUUGUAAACUGCUUUUAUACGGGAAGAAACACCCCCUCGUGAGGGGACUUGACGGUACCGUAAGAAUAAGGAUCGGCUAACUCCGUGCCAGCAGCCGCGGUAAUACGGAGGAUCCAAGCGUUAUCCGGAAUCAUUGGGUUUAAAGGGUCCGUAGGCGGCCUUAUAAGUCAGUGGUGAAAUCUCCUAGCUCAACUAGGAAACUGCCAUUGAUACUGUAGGGCUUGAAUUAUUGUGAAGUAACUAGAAUAUGUAGUGUAGCGGUGAAAUGCUUAGAUAUUACAUGGAAUACCAAUUGCGAAGGCAGGUUACUAACAAUAUAUUGACGCUGAUGGACGAAAGCGUGGGUAGCGAACAGGAUUAGAAACCCGUGUAGUCC